RNAcentral lists this ribosomal RNA (568 nucleotides) under uncultured archaeon. RNAcentral's name for it is "bacterial SSU rRNA". It matches the Rfam family "Archaeal small subunit ribosomal RNA", at positions 311 to 879 of the family's 1478-position model. The record is from RNAcentral.
CCGCGAUUCGCCCUUCGGGGUGCACCAGGCGCGAAAACUUUACAAUGCUGGCAACAGCGAUAAGGGGACCUCGAGUGCCAGGUUACAAAUCUGGCUGUCGUGAUGCCUAAAAAGCAUUGCAUAGCAAGGGCCGGGCAAGACCGGUGUUAGCCGUUGUGGUAACACCGGCGGCUCGAGUGGUAACCGUUAUUAUUGGGUCUAAAGGGUCUGUAGCCGGCCGGAUAAGUCUCUUGGGAAAUCUGGCAGCUUAACUGUCAGGCUUUCAGGAGAUACUGUCUGGCUCGAGGCCGGGAGAGGUGAGAGGUACUUCAGGGGUAGGGGUGAAAUCUUGUAAUCCUUGAAGGACCACCAGUGGCGAAGGCGUCUCACCAGAACGGACCUGACGGCAAUGGACGAAAGCUAGGGGUACGAACCGGAUUAGAUACCCGGGUAGUCCUAGCCGUAAACGAUACUCGCUAGGUGUCGGCCACGGUGCGACCGUUGUCGGUGCCGUAGGGAAGCCGUGAAGCGAGCCACCUGGGAAGUACGGCCGCAAGGCUGAAACUUAAAGGAAUUGGCGGGGGAGCAC